Molecule: ribosomal RNA, 253 nt
Filed under: uncultured bacterium
Lineage: Bacteria
Description: partial 16S ribosomal RNA
Rfam family: Bacterial small subunit ribosomal RNA
Source: RNAcentral
UACGGAGGGGACAAGCGUUAUUCGGAAUUAUUGGGCGUAAAGGGUGCGCAGGCGGUCUGUUAAGUGAGAAGUGAAAGCCCACGGCUUAACCGUGGAACGGCUUCUCAUACUGGCAGACUGGAGUAUGGGAGAGGGAAGUGGAAUUUCCGGUGUAGCGGUGAAAUGCGUAGAGAUCGGAAGGAACACCAGUGGCGAAGGCGGCUUCCUGGACCAUUACUGACGCUGAGGCACGAAAGCGUGGGGAGCAAACAGG